Molecule: ribosomal RNA, 99 nt
Filed under: Linnaeosicyos amara
Lineage: Eukaryota; Viridiplantae; Streptophyta; Magnoliopsida; Cucurbitales; Cucurbitaceae
Description: partial 25S ribosomal RNA
Rfam family: Eukaryotic large subunit ribosomal RNA
Source: RNAcentral
ACCCCAGGUCAGGCGGGACUACCCGCUGAAUUUAAGCAUAUCAAUAAGCGGAGGAAAAGAAACUUACGAGGAUUCCCCUAGUAACGGCGAGCGAACCGG